RNAcentral lists this ribosomal RNA (216 nucleotides) under Campeiostachys nutans. RNAcentral describes it as "Elymus nutans partial small subunit ribosomal RNA". It matches the Rfam family "Eukaryotic small subunit ribosomal RNA", at positions 644 to 864 of the family's 1831-position model. Lineage: Eukaryota; Viridiplantae; Streptophyta; Magnoliopsida; Poales; Poaceae. The record is from RNAcentral.
GGGUUAGUAGGUUGGUCAUGCCUCUGGUAUGUACUGGUCUCACUGAUUCCUCCUUCCUGAUGAACCUUAAUGCCAUUAAUUUGGUGUUUUGGGGAAUUUGGACUGUUACUUUGAAGAAAUUAGAGUGCUCAAAGCAAGCCCAAGCUCUGGAUAUAUUAGCAUGGGAUAACAUCAUAUGAUUUCGGUCCUAUUGUGUUGGCCUUCGGGAUCGGAGUA